UCGGAUCAGGCGGGGAUACCCGCUGAACUUAAGCAUAUCAAUAAGCGGAGGAAAAGAAACCAACAGGGAUUGCCCCAGUAACGGCGAGUGAAGCGGCAACAGCUCAAAUUUGAAAUCUGGAGCCUUUGUGGCUUCCGAGUUGUAAUUUGCAGAGGGAGUCUCGGAGGGCGAGUCGGUCCAAGUGCCUUGGAACAGGAUACCGCAGAGGGUGAGAGUCCCGUAUCUGGCCGAUUUCGCGCUCCGUGUGAGGCCCCUUCGACGAGUCGAGUUGUUUGGGAAUGCAGCUCCAAGCGGGUGGUAAAUUCCAUCUAAAGCUAAAUACCGGCCAGAGACCGAUAGCGAACAAGUAGAGUGAUCGAAAGAUGAAAAGCACUUUGAAAAGAGAGUCAAACAGUACGUGAAAUUGUUGAAAGGGAAGCGCAUGGGGGCAGACUUGGACGCGGGGUUCAGGACGUCCUGUGACGUCUGUACUUCCCCGCGGACAGGCCAGCAUCGGUUUCGGGGGCCGGACAAAGGCGCUGGGAACGUGGCUCUCUUCGGAGAGUGUUAUAGCCCGGCGCGCAAUGCGGCCACCUGGGACCGAGGACCGCGCUUCGGCAAGGAUGCUGGCGUAAUGGCCUCAUGCGGCCCGUCUUGAAACACGGACCAAGGAGUCUAACAUCUAUGCGAGUGUUUGGGUUUGAAGCCCGGGCGCGCAAUGAAAGUGAACGGAGGUGGGAGUCCGCAAGGACGCACCAUCGACCGAUCCGGACGUUUUCUGAAGGAUUUGAGUAAGAGCAUAGCUGUUGGGACCCGAAAGAUGGUGAACUAUGCGUGAAUAGGGUGAAGCCAGAGGAAACUCUGGUGGAGGCUCGCAGCGGUUCUGACGUGCAAAUCGAUCGUCAAAUUUGCGUAUAGGGGCGAAAGACUAAUCGAACCAUCUAGUAGCUGGUUCCUGCCGAAGUUUCCCUCAGGAUAGCAGUAACGUAUUCAGUUUUAUGAGGUAAAGCGAACGAUUAGGGAGCUAGGGGUUGAAACAACCUCUAUCCAUUCUCGAACUUUAAAUAUGUAAGAAGUCCUUGUUGCUUUGUUGAACGUGGACAGUCGAAUGCAGCGUUACUAGUGGGCCAUUUUUGGUAAGCAGAACUGGCGAUGCGGGAUGAACCGAACGUGGGGUUAAGGUGCCGGAAUGCACGCUCAUCAGACACCACAAAAGGUGUUGGUUCAUCCAGACAGCAGGACGGUGGCCAUGGAAGUCGGAAUCCGCUAAGGAGUGUGUAACAACUCACCUGCCGAAUGAACCAGCCCUGAAAAUGGAUGGCGCUCAAGCGUGCUACCCAUACCCCACCGUCUGUGUGUUUUGUUAGACGCAGACGAGUAGGCAGGCGUGGAGGUUUUGUGA
RNAcentral lists this ribosomal RNA (1381 nucleotides) under Scolecobasidium bacilliforme. RNAcentral describes it as "eukaryotic LSU rRNA". It matches the Rfam family "Eukaryotic large subunit ribosomal RNA", at positions 1 to 1405 of the family's 3401-position model. Lineage: Eukaryota; Fungi; Ascomycota; Dothideomycetes; Venturiales; Sympoventuriaceae. The record is from RNAcentral.